Molecule: ribosomal RNA, 435 nt
Filed under: uncultured bacterium
Lineage: Bacteria
Description: partial 16S ribosomal RNA
Rfam family: Bacterial small subunit ribosomal RNA
Source: RNAcentral
AGCGAACGCUGGCGGCAGGCUUAACGCAUGCAAGUCGAGCGGGCAUAGCAAUAUGUCAGCGGCAGACGGGUGAGUAACGCGUGGGAACGUACCUUUUGGUUCGGAACAACUGAGGGAAACUUCAGCUAAUACCGGAUAAGCCCUUACGGGGAAAGAUUUAUCGCCGAAAGAUCGGCCCGCGUCUGAUUGGCUAGUUGGUGAGGUAAUGGCUCACCAAGGCGACGAUCAGUAGCUGGUCUGAGAGGAUGAUCAGCCACAUUGGGACUGAGACACGGCCCAAACUCCUACGGGAGGCAGCAGUGGGGAAUAUUGGACAAUGGGCGCAAGCCUGAUCCAGCCAUGCCGCGUGAGUGAUGAAGGCCCUAGGGUUGUAAAGCUCUUUUGUGCGGGAAGAUAAUGACGGUACCGCAAGAAUAAGCCCCGGCUAACUUCGUG